Molecule: transfer RNA, 87 nt
Filed under: Colletotrichum lupini
Lineage: Eukaryota; Fungi; Ascomycota; Sordariomycetes; Glomerellales; Glomerellaceae
Description: tRNA-Glu
Rfam family: tRNA
About the family: Transfer RNA (tRNA) molecules are approximately 80 nucleotides in length. Their secondary structure includes four short double-helical elements and three loops (D, anti-codon, and T loops). Further hydrogen bonds mediate the characteristic L-shaped molecular structure. tRNAs have two regions of fundamental functional importance: the anti-codon, which is responsible for specific mRNA codon recognition, and the 3' end, to which the tRNAs corresponding amino acid is attached (by aminoacyl-tRNA synthetases). tRNAs cope with the degeneracy of the genetic code in two manners: having more than one tRNA (with a specific anti-codon) for a particular amino acid; and 'wobble' base-pairing, i.e. permitting non-standard base-pairing at the 3rd anti-codon position.
Source: RNAcentral
UUCGAUAUGGUGUAGUGGCCAACAUGAUGCCCUCUCAUCUCUCUGAGAGGAUAGGCAUAGCCCCGAGUUCGAUUCUCGGUUUCGGAA